AGAUAAUAGAUACCCGGGUAGUCCACGCCGUAAACGGUGGGUGCUAGGUGUAGGGGGUAUUCCACGCCCUCUGUGCCGCAGCUAAACGCAUUAAGCACCCCGCCUGGGGAGUACGGCCGCAAGGCUAAAACUCAAAGGAAUUGACGGGGGCCCGCACAAGCAGCGGAGCAUGUGGCUUAAUUCGACGCAACGCGAAGAACCUUACCAAGGCUUGACAUGCAGGGAAAUCUCCCAGAGAUGGGAGGUCCGCAAGGGUCCUGCACAGGUGGUGCAUGGUUGUCGUCAGCUCGUGUCGUGAGAUGUUGGGUUAAGUCCCGCAACGAGCGCAACCCUCGUUCUAUGUUGCCAGCGGUUCGGCCGGGGACUCAUAGGAGACUGCCGGGGUCAACUCGGAGGAACGGUGGGGACGACGUCAAAUCAUCAUGCCCCUUAUGUCUUGGGCUGCACACAUGCUACAAUGGCCGGUACAAAGGGCUGCUAAACCGCGAGGUGGAGCGAAUCCCAAAAAGCCGGUCUCAGUUCGGAUU
Molecule: ribosomal RNA, 527 nt
Filed under: uncultured bacterium
Lineage: Bacteria
Description: bacterial SSU rRNA
Rfam family: Bacterial small subunit ribosomal RNA
Source: RNAcentral